CAACAACACAAACAAAGAACUAGAGAAACCAUGACAACAUGCUGGUGCACGGCCUGCAGGUCACCAUGACAACAUGCUGGUGUACGGUCUGCAGGUCACCAUGACAACAUGCUGGUGCACGGCCUGCAGGUCACCAUGACAACAUGCUGGUGUACGGUCUGCAGGUCACCAUGACAACAUGCUGGUGUACGGCCUGCAGGUCACCAUGACAACAUGCUGGUGUACGGUCUGCAGGUCACCAUGACAACAUGCUGGUGUACGGUCUGCAGGUCAACCUACCAUGACAACAUGCUGGUGUACGGUCUGCAGGUCACCAUGACAACAUGCUGGUGCACGGCCUGCAGGUCACCAUGACAACAUGCUGGUGCACGGCCUGCAGGUCACCAUGACAACAUGCUGGUGUACGGUCUGCAGGUCACCAUGACAACAUGCUGGUGCACGGCCUGCAGGUCACCAUGACAACAUGCUGGUGUACGGCCUGCAGGUCACCAUGACAACAUGCUGGUGUACGGUCUGCAGGUCACCAUGACAACAUGCUGGUGUACGGUCUGCAGGUCACCAUGACAACAUGCUGGUGUACGGCCUGCAGGUCACCAUGACAACAUGCUGGUGUACGGUCUGCAGGUCACCAUGACAACAUGCUGGUGUACGGU
Molecule: long non-coding RNA, 653 nt
Organism: Oncorhynchus keta (chum salmon)
Lineage: Eukaryota; Metazoa; Chordata; Actinopteri; Salmoniformes; Salmonidae
Exons: 3
Source: RefSeq, a predicted model, not a curated record